AAUAACCUACCUAUAAGACUGGGAUAACUUCGGGAAACCGGAGCUAAUACCGGAUAAUAUAUUGAACCGCAUGGUUCAAUAGUGAAAGACGGUUUUGCUGUCACUUAUAGAUGGAUCCGCGUCGCAUUAGCUAGUUGGUAAGGUAACGGCUUACCAAGGCAACGAUGCGUAGCCGACCUGAGAGGGUGAUCGGCCACACUGGAACUGAGACACGGUCCAG
Molecule: ribosomal RNA, 220 nt
Filed under: uncultured Staphylococcus sp.
Lineage: Bacteria; Bacillati; Bacillota; Bacilli; Caryophanales; Staphylococcaceae
Description: partial 16S ribosomal RNA
Rfam family: Bacterial small subunit ribosomal RNA
Source: RNAcentral